Long non-coding RNA from Lepisosteus oculatus (spotted gar), 482 nucleotides. RefSeq lists it as uncharacterized. The record is from RefSeq and is a predicted model, not a curated record. Lineage: Eukaryota; Metazoa; Chordata; Actinopteri; Semionotiformes; Lepisosteidae.
UCGGUUUGAAAAUAUAUUUCAUAACAUACUGCUCUUCGGCAAUAUUAUCUUCUUUUGUUUAUUGUUUUUUCCACAUGGGUUUAGUCGGGGAAGUCACCUUUUUUCAAGGAGCUCCUGGGAAGUCUAGUAGACGACUCCAAGUACAAACAAGUGAUCACAGUUAAUAAGGAAUACUCUGGGAACUGUGCCUCUGGAUACUGGCGUGGGAGUUAAACUGUGAAGAUAAAGUCCCCUUUAUCUGUGAGGGCGAUCCUGGGAGAGUGUGAAUUUUCCCCCCAUCUGUCCUGAGUAAGAGGGAGAGAAGCUCGGAGUGAGAAGAUAAUGUGUGGGAGAGAGACAGUGUGUCUGCCGGGACUCCUCUGCUGAUUCCUGGAGACGAUCCUGGUCUCUUGUUUCUCCACUGAUACUCCCACUGUCACUCCUUCUGUUCUCUACGGCUGAGAAAACAGUUGUACAGCAAAAUGGGGGUUUCAUUCCUUUAA